AACCUGGGAACUGCAUUCGAAACUGGCAGGCUUGAGUCUUGUAGAGGGGGGUAGAAUUCCAGGUGUAGCGGUGAAAUGCGUAGAGAUCUGGAGGAAUACCGGUGGCGAAGGCGGCCCCCUGGACAAAGACUGACGCUCAGGUGCGAAAGCGUGGGGAGCAAACAGGAUUAGAUACCCUGGUAGUCCACGCCGUAAACGAUGUCUACUUGGAGGUUGUGCCCUUGAGGCGUGGCUUCCGGAGCUAACGCGUUAAGUAGACCGCCUGGGGAGUACGGCCGCAAGGUUAAAACUCAAAUGAAUUGACGGGGGCCCGCACAAGCGGUGGAGCAUGUGGUUUAAUUCGAUGCAACGCGAAGAACCUUACCUGGUCUUGACAUCCACAGAAGAAUCCAGAGAUGGAUUUGUGCCUUCGGGAACUGUGAGACAGGUGCUGCAUGGCUGUCGUCAGCUCGUGUUGUGAAAUGUUGGGUUAAGUC
RNAcentral lists this ribosomal RNA (476 nucleotides) under Salmonella enterica subsp. enterica serovar Dublin. RNAcentral describes it as "bacterial SSU rRNA". It matches the Rfam family "Bacterial small subunit ribosomal RNA", at positions 611 to 1086 of the family's 1533-position model. Lineage: Bacteria; Pseudomonadati; Pseudomonadota; Gammaproteobacteria; Enterobacterales; Enterobacteriaceae. The record is from RNAcentral.